Molecule: ribosomal RNA, 2533 nt
Filed under: Triticum aestivum (bread wheat)
Lineage: Eukaryota; Viridiplantae; Streptophyta; Magnoliopsida; Poales; Poaceae
Description: partial small subunit ribosomal RNA
Source: RNAcentral
CUGUGUAGAGGUUAGAGGUGGGAGCGGCAACUUGGUGCUGUGGGUUGGAGUUGUGUCGUUUGGGAGCCGCUGGAAGGAGUACGGAGGUCGGUUUCGGUUCUUUGAGGCCGCCCGGCGCCGGCGCCGGCGGGGGGGUCUCUCUAGGGGCCGCGGGGGAGGCAGGCACCGCCUCUGGGGAGGGCGCCGGCGGAGGGGUCUCUCUAGGGGCCGCGGGGGAGGCCGACACCGCCUCUGGGGAGGGCGCCGGCGGGGCGGUCUCUGGAGAGGCCGCGGGGGAGGCCAACGCCGCCUCUGGUGAGGGCGACGGCGGGGCGGUCUCUGGAGAGGCCGCGGGGGAGGCCAACACCGCCGCUGGGGAGGGCUCAGCAGCCUCCGAUCACAAUGCCAACGCCUCCUACCACCGCCCUUGCUGUUCUACCGCCACCUCCUAGAGCCACUCCACCUCGCACUCCUCCGGUGGCCCCGCCUCAGGCAUCUCCUCCUUGGGCUGCUCCUCCUCGGGCUCCUCCUCCUGGGUCUCCUCAGCCUCCUCCUGGGACUACGCCUCCUACUAGGACUCCUGCACCUCCUCCUAGGACUCCUGCACCUCCUCCUAGGACUCCUGCGUCUCCUCCUUCGGCUACGUCAGCUCCUACUACUCCUCCUAUGCCACGACCGCCGACCCGGCCUCUUCUGCCACUGACACCUCCCGCCACUACUCCUCUUUCGCUACCACUGGCAUAGGUUCCUCCCGCCGCCACUUCAAUGUCCCAAUCUCAGACGGUACCAUCUCCUCGGGCUCCUCCGACGAUUACACCUGCGUUACCUUCUCCUACGAUGUCUCCAGGGCCCUCUACCGCGGCGUGGUCUACUGUACUUACUUGAUAGACUUCUUCUUGUACUUCUUAGACCCGUACUUCCAUGUGUACCCUUAUUGCUUCUCCUACCACAACGGACGGUCAACUCACAGGUAAGACUCCGCGUCUUACCACUUGAACUGAGGAGUAACGGAUGUGAUCCAAGUCAAAGUCACCCGUUAUGAUUUCUGAACGUUCAUAAAGAAGUACCUAACGGAUUCCUAACACGACUCUUUCUGUAAUGUCUCCAGAAAAGAGUUAAGCCUCUCUAACUCAGAUAAUUUUGUUAAUCUUUUUUCUUGCCGUAACGUAAACAAGCAAUAUACUCGUGACUUCGACGUUUCUUCCGAGAACGGCUUAAAUUCCUCCCUCGACUCCACUGUCCCCCUUCCCAAUUUCAUAAUCGAAGAUCUCCACUAUUAUGGGAAAUGGAAUCGUUGUAGACGUUCUCGACCUGUUUUCUCGUCCACGCUUGAAGGAACUCUUCAUAGCCUUAGCUACCUAAACUAUACUCAAAUGGGCAACUAGGACUUUGACCUCCUGUUUUGGCUCCCUAAUGAAAAGAGUUUAAACGAAGCGGACUGUUGCGGUUUCGACGUAGAGUCGACGAUGUCGUUGGCCUACGUAACUAAUGGUAACAAUUUUCACACUUCCUUAGACGAGUUUAGGGAUGUCUUAGUUCAGUCCUCGAACGAUACGACGUCCAAUUUUGUCAUAUGGAGCUUGUACAAGGAGAAAGAACCCUAUUCCCGUUUCAAUUUCUUACAACGUUUCGUAUACCCCACUAAGACCUACAAGUGUAAAAUUUCUUCAGUUUUUGCUUUUGAAGAAAACAGCUUAAGAGUAGGUCCUUCUCACGUAAUCGAACACACCUUCCUUAUUUGUCACGGUUAUAACCACCACUUCAAUUCGACCGACGUUCAGAACGAGCUGGUGCAGCCCUUUACGUUGACCUGUUCUUCUCACGAUUUCCACCCCAGUUCCAGUUAUCACUACGUUGAAGAUUUCUGUGGUUGUUAAGAUAAUUCUUUUUCUUGGUCUUAUCCCUCCAGUCUCACUUCUUCCUAAGUGGUGUAUUUAACGCUUUUCCACUACACUCGUUCGACUGGAGUGUACAACUACGCCUUCAUGGUGUUAGUAGGUUGGGUAGAUUUCCGUUUGCCUUUCGACCUUUCUGACUUUUAUGGCGACAUUUACUUUCCCGUGGCUUCUCCCGUGCCUUCUUAGCACCACAAGACUGUUUUGGAAGGUUGUCUUGUAGAGUACCACCAAUACGAUCUCAAGGGAUACGUCCUCUUAGAAGACCUUUGUAAUUUGCGGGACACCCUGGAGCUAUACAUUGACCGUUGGUUAGAAUGGGGUAACGCCCGCGUAGAAGGUCUAGAUUUGGUUUACGAGCACUGGACCUUGGAGUACGACCUAUGUAGGGAGGAUGUUUGGCACAAGCACGUGGACGUUUAGUACAAGGUCAGUGGAUACACAUACUAGUAGGCUCUUCACGUGGUAGGUGAUAGGUAGUGUAACUGCCAGAAGGAAUACGAUCUCUUCAUCGUCGAGGUGGUGGUCGGAUACCCAUGUGUUCGUUAGGAGUUAUGGUCCUACCUAUACGUAUGCGGAUGGAGGGGGGCGGAGUAGGUUCACAUAGAAUGGUGAUGGGUCCUUGGCCGCGUAUAUCGGGAGCUUCCUCUAUGAUGACU